UGGCGGACGGGUGAGUAACGCGUGAGGAUCUGCCCUUAGGACGGGGAUAACACUGGGAAACUGGUGCUAAUACCGGAUGAGCCGAGAGGUAAAAUAUUUUAUAGCCUGGGGAUGAACUCGCGUCUGAUUAGCUAGUUGGUGGGGUAAAAGCUUACCAAGGCGACGAUCAGUAGCUGUUCUGAGAGGAUGAUCAGCCACACUGGGACUGAGACACGGCCCAGACUCCUACGGGAGGCAGCAGUGGGGAAUUUUCCGCAAUGGGGGGAACCCUGACGGAGCAACGCCGCGUGCGGGAGGACGGUUUGUGGACUGUAAACCGCUUUUAAUAGGGAAGAAUAGAUGACGGUACCUAUUGAAUCAGCAUCGGCUAACUCCGUGCCAGCAGCCGCGGUAAU
This 395-nucleotide ribosomal RNA is filed under the name uncultured bacterium. Its description in RNAcentral is "bacterial SSU rRNA". It matches the Rfam family "Bacterial small subunit ribosomal RNA", at positions 96 to 524 of the family's 1533-position model. The record is from RNAcentral.